UAAUUGAACGCUGGCGGCAGGACUAACACAUGCAUGUCGAGCGGUAACACGGGUAGCUUGCUACCCGCUGACGAGCGGCGGACGGGUGAGUAACGCAUAGGAAUUUACCCGAUAGUGGGGGAUAACCUGGGGAAACCCAGGCUAAUACCGCAUACGUCCUACGGGAGAAAGGGGGCUCCGGCUCCCGCUAUCGGAUGAGCCUAUGCCGGAUUAGCUGGUUGGUGAGGUAAUGGCUCACCAAGGCGACGAUCCGUAGCUGGUCUGAGAGGAUGAUCAGCCACAUCGGGACUGAGACACGGCCCGAACUCCUACGGGAGGCAGCAGUGGGGAAUAUUGGACAAUGGGCGCAAGCCUGAUCCAACCAUGCCGCGUGUGUGAAGAAGGCCCUCGGGUUGUAAAGCACUUUCAGCGAAGAAGAACGCCUGGCGGUUAAUACCCGCCAAGAAAGACAUCACUCGCAGAAGAAGCACCGGCUAACUCCGUGCCAGCAACCGCGGUAAUACCGAAGGUGCAAGCGUUAAUCCGAAUUACUGGGCCUUAAACGCGCGUUAGUUGCUUGAUAAGCCGGUUGUGAAAGCCCCGGGCUCAAACUGGGAACGGCAUCCCGGAACUGUCAAGGC
RNAcentral lists this ribosomal RNA (620 nucleotides) under bacterium 'A1-UMH 8% pond'. RNAcentral's name for it is "bacterial SSU rRNA". It matches the Rfam family "Bacterial small subunit ribosomal RNA", at positions 26 to 641 of the family's 1533-position model. The record is from RNAcentral.